RNAcentral lists this ribosomal RNA (374 nucleotides) under uncultured bacterium. RNAcentral's name for it is "bacterial SSU rRNA". It matches the Rfam family "Bacterial small subunit ribosomal RNA", at positions 524 to 898 of the family's 1533-position model. The record is from RNAcentral.
GACGAACCGUGCGAACGUUAUUCGGAAUCACUGGGCUUAAAGGGCGCGUAGGCGGGCGGUCAAGUCGGAGGUGAAAGCCUGCAGCUCAACUGCAGAAGUGCCCCCGAUACUGAUCACCUCGAGGGAGGUAGGGGCGUGCGGAACUUCCGGUGGAGCGGUGAAAUGCGUAGAUAUCGGAAGGAACACCGGUGGCGAAAGCGGCGCGCUGGACCUCUUCUGACGCUGAGGCGCGAAAGCCAGGGGAGCAAACGGGAUUAGAUACCCCGGUAGUCCUGGCCCUAAACGAUGGGUACUAGGUAGUGGGCUGACAUGGGCUCACUGCCGAAGCAAAAGUGUUAAGUACCCCGCCUGGGGAGUAUGGUCGCAAGGCUGAA